GCCCGGGUGGCGAAAUUGGUAGACGCAAGGGACUUAAAAUCCCUCGGCUGGUAACAGCCGUGCCGGUUCGACCCCGGCUCCGGGCACCA
RNAcentral lists this transfer RNA (89 nucleotides) under Thiothrix sp. Its description in RNAcentral is "tRNA-Leu". It matches the Rfam family "tRNA". Rfam says of the family: Transfer RNA (tRNA) molecules are approximately 80 nucleotides in length. Their secondary structure includes four short double-helical elements and three loops (D, anti-codon, and T loops). Further hydrogen bonds mediate the characteristic L-shaped molecular structure. tRNAs have two regions of fundamental functional importance: the anti-codon, which is responsible for specific mRNA codon recognition, and the 3' end, to which the tRNAs corresponding amino acid is attached (by aminoacyl-tRNA synthetases). tRNAs cope with the degeneracy of the genetic code in two manners: having more than one tRNA (with a specific anti-codon) for a particular amino acid; and 'wobble' base-pairing, i.e. permitting non-standard base-pairing at the 3rd anti-codon position. The record is from RNAcentral. Lineage: Bacteria; Pseudomonadati; Pseudomonadota; Gammaproteobacteria; Thiotrichales; Thiotrichaceae.